This 497-nucleotide ribosomal RNA is filed under the name uncultured bacterium. RNAcentral describes it as "partial 16S ribosomal RNA". It matches the Rfam family "Bacterial small subunit ribosomal RNA", at positions 28 to 507 of the family's 1533-position model. The record is from RNAcentral.
GAUGAACGCUGGCGGCGUGCCUAAUACAUGCAAGUCGAGCGAACAGACGAGGAGCUUGCUCCUCUGACGUUAGCGGCGGACGGGAGAGUAACACGUGGAUAACCUACCUAUAAGACUGGGAUAACUUCGGGAAACCGGAGCUAAUACCGGAUAAUAUAUUGAACUGCAAGGUUCAAUCGUGAAAGAAGGUUUUGCUGUCACUUAUAGAUGGAUCCGCGCCCCAUUAGCUAGUUGGUAAGGUAACGGCUUACCAAGGCAACGAAGCGUAGCCGACCUGAACGGGUGAACGGCCACACUGGAACAGAGACACGGUCCACACUCCUACGGGGGGCAGCAGUAGGGAAUCUUCCGCGAUGGACGAAAGCCUGACGGAGCAACGCCGCGUGAGUGAUGAAGGUCUUCGGAUCGUAAAACUCUGUUAUUAGGGAAGAACAAAUGUGUAAGUAACUAUGCACGUCUUGACGGUACCUAAUCAGAAAGCCACGGCUAACUACGUG